UUGGACAUCAAAAUCAACCUUUGCCAUCAUCUUCACAAAGGAUGCAAAGUAGUGGAGAUGAAAGUUGUCCUAAAGGUGGAACAGAAGGAGAAGAAGUAUCAGAAUGCAGUCAAGAGUCAGCAGGUGUUGCACACACUCAUUCUGCUGGUAAUGUGGUGCUACAAACGAGAGACCAGUUCAUUUUUAGUGAAGAGUCGUGUCCAGGGAAGGAUCGAAGCUCCAGUCCAGCAUCUUGUACAGAACAAUAUUACACCUCACUUGAAGAUGUCACUUUUUCCAUUCCAGAAAUACCUUGUGAAGCU
This 302-nucleotide long non-coding RNA is filed under the name Citrus maxima (pomelo). RNAcentral describes it as "long non-coding RNA (CMAX_LNC001691)". The record is from RNAcentral. Lineage: Eukaryota; Viridiplantae; Streptophyta; Magnoliopsida; Sapindales; Rutaceae.